Molecule: long non-coding RNA, 384 nt
Organism: Vicia villosa (hairy vetch)
Lineage: Eukaryota; Viridiplantae; Streptophyta; Magnoliopsida; Fabales; Fabaceae
Exons: 2
Source: RefSeq, a predicted model, not a curated record
AAAUUGGGAAAAAGAGAAGCAGAAGCAGUAGAAGCAGAUUUUGGAACUGAAGAACACGUGAAAGUGAGAAGAGCCAAAGGGGGAGAAGAACUUCGAAGAUCCGACUCUGAGAUUAAGGAUGUAGCGGCGUGUGAUUGGGUGAAGAUAGCUUAUAAGCUAGCCCGUAGUUCGUGUCGAGUCAUGCUCUGAUUGUAACACUGGGAUCGAUUAGUCUUAGCGUUACUUGAGAUACUAUGUUGUUAUUUUGUUUAUGGAUUAUGUAUUGAUGAGCUGUUUGGAUAUGCUCCUAACAUUGUUUGAAAUAAGUUUCCGCUGUGAUGAACACAUGUUGAAGUUUGGUUAAUUUUAAUAAAAGCAUGACAAUCGACUUUGAUGUUUUAUUUA